UAAAUAAAGUUUAAUUCUAGCUUAAAGAUUUAUUUAAUUUUUUUUUUACAUGUAAAUUUUUAUGUGAAUAGGAAAGUAAUUUUAAUAAUUAUUUUUGUAUAUUUUAUUCGCAGUAUGAAGUUUUAAUAAUUUAAGAAAUUAAGAAUUAUAAAUAAAUUUUAAUAUUGACAAAUUUUGUGCCAGCAGUUGCGGUUAUACAAAAAAUGUAAAUAAAUUAUAUUAGUAAAUAAUUAUAUGAAUUAAUUUAAAAUAAAAUUAUAUUUAUUAGGUGAAAUUUUAAAUAUAAAAUUAAUUUUUAAUAAAAUUUUUAUUAUUAUGAAAUUUAUUUUUAAACUAGGAUUAGAUACCCUAUUAUUUUAAAUGUAAAUUAUUAUACUAAAGUAGUAAUAGUUAAGUUCUUUAAAUUUAAAGAUUUUGGCGGUAUUUUAGUCUAUUCAGAGGAACCUGUUCUGUGAUUGAUAAUCCACGAUUAACUUUACUUAAUUUAAUAAUUUGUAUAUCGUCGUUUAUAAAUGAUUUUAAAAGAAUUUAAAUUUUUAAGAUUUUUUAUUAAAAAAUAUAUCAGAUCAAGGUGCAGUUUAUAAUUAAGUAGAAAUGGGUUACAAUAAAUUUAUUUAUACGGAUUAAUAUAUUAAAUUAUGUUAUGAAGGAGGAUUUGAUAGUAAUAAAAUUUAAUUAAAUUUUAUGAUUUUAGCUCUAAAAUAUGUACAUAUCGCCCGUCGCUCUUAUUAUAAAAUAAGAUAAGUCGUAACAUAGUAGAUGUACUGGAAAGUGUAUCUAGAAUGAC
RNAcentral lists this non-coding RNA (787 nucleotides) under Colymbetes fuscus. Lineage: Eukaryota; Metazoa; Arthropoda; Insecta; Coleoptera; Dytiscidae. The record is from RNAcentral.